GGAAUAUUGGACAAUGGGCGAAAGCCUGAUCCAGCAACGCCGCGUGGAGGAUGAAGGCCCUCGGGUUGUAAACUCCUGUCAGGUGGGACGAAGGUGCUUCGGUCAAUAUCCGGAGUAUUUGACGGUACCACCAGAGGAAGCCCCGGCUAACUCCGUGCCAGCAGCCGCGGUAAAACGGAGGGGGCGAGCGUUAUUCGGAAUUAUUGGGCGUAAAGGGCGCGUAGGCGGCUAGAUAAGUCAGGGGUGAAAUCCCUCGGCUCAACCGAGGAACUGCCUCUGAAACUGUCCUGCUUGAGGCCGGGAGAGGGUAGUGGAAUUCCCAGUGUAGCGGUGAAAUGCGUAGAUAUUGGGAGGAACACCAGUGGCGAAGGCGGCUACCUGGACCGGUUCUGACGCUGAGGCGCGAAAGUGUGGGGAGCAAA
Molecule: ribosomal RNA, 422 nt
Filed under: uncultured bacterium
Lineage: Bacteria
Description: bacterial SSU rRNA
Rfam family: Bacterial small subunit ribosomal RNA
Source: RNAcentral